This 376-nucleotide ribosomal RNA is filed under the name uncultured bacterium. RNAcentral describes it as "bacterial SSU rRNA". It matches the Rfam family "Bacterial small subunit ribosomal RNA", at positions 1001 to 1390 of the family's 1533-position model. The record is from RNAcentral.
GGGAAACCGGAACGAGCCUUCGGGCAGCGUAGACAGGUGCUGCAUGGCUGUCGUCAGCUCGUGUCGUGAGAUGUUGGGUUAAGUCCCGCAACGAGCGCAACCCGUGUUGCUAGUUACAAGUGUCUAGCGAGACUGCCGGUAACAGGCCGGAGGAAGGUGCGGAUGAUGUCAAGUCAGCAUGGCCUAUAUGUCCAGGGCUACACACACGCUACAAUGGCUGGUACAAAGAGAAGCGAAAGGGAGACCUGAAGCGAAUCUCAUCAAAGCCAGUCAUAGUUCGGAUUGCAGGCUGCAACUCGCCUGCAUGAAGUCGGAGUUGCUAGUAACCGCAGGUCAGCAAUACUGCGGUGAAUACGUUCCCGGGCCUUGUACACAC